CUGACAAGUCCCAAAUAGGACGAAACGCGCGUC
RNAcentral lists this non-coding RNA (33 nucleotides) under Schistosoma mansoni. The record is from RNAcentral. Lineage: Eukaryota; Metazoa; Platyhelminthes; Trematoda; Strigeidida; Schistosomatidae.